UCUCCUUCCUCCUCUCCCUCAGAUGAAGGUAGUAUCCAGAUCCACAGUGCCAACUAUGGCCGCCGUGACCAGCUAGUGUGUUCCUUUAAUCGGCCCGCUAACCAACUAGCCAACACCAACUGCCUGAGCCAAUCCAUAACCACCAGUAAGGUAGCAAAGAGGUGUAAUGGGAAGAGCCAGUGUGACGUCCCGGCGUCCAACUCUCUGUAUGGAGAUCCCUGUGUAGGAACCUACAAGUACCUGGAUGUGGCUUACACCUGUGGCUAAAUGAGAUCUUCUCUGAGGAACAUAGACCAGAGAGACCACAUGGAUAUCUUCCUCUUCAUUGGGCGGAUUUGUAUUUCUUUCCUGUCUUCUCUCCUCUGAAGUCUCAAUUGAGUGUAAAAUCGAUGUAAAUUC
This is a long non-coding RNA of Oncorhynchus nerka (sockeye salmon), 399 nucleotides long. RefSeq lists it as uncharacterized. Lineage: Eukaryota; Metazoa; Chordata; Actinopteri; Salmoniformes; Salmonidae. The transcript has 3 exons. The record is from RefSeq and is a predicted model, not a curated record.